UUUAGGUGGUUACUAGGGAGUUGCUAUGUAGUUGUUUAGGUGUUUCUGUGGUUACUAUGAAGAUGCUAUGUGGUUGUCUAGGUGUACAGGUGGUUGCUAGGGAGUUGAUAUGUGGUUGUCUAAGUUUUCAUGUGGUUGCUAGGGAGUUGAUUUGUGGUUGUCUAGGUGUUCAGGUGGUUACUAAGGAGUUGCUUUGUGGUUGUCAAGGUGUACAGGUGGUUGCUAGGGAGUUGCUUUGUGGUUGUCUAGGUGUACAGGUGGUUGCUAGGGAGUUGAUAUGUGGUUGUCAAGGUGUUCAGGUGGUUACUAAGGAGUUGCUUUGUGGUUGUCUAGGUGUUCAGGUGGUUGCUAGGGAGUUGCUUUGUGGUUGUCUAAGUUUUCACGAGGUUACUAAGGAGUUGCUAUGUGGUUGUCAAGGUGUACAGGUGGUUGCUAGGGAGUUGCUUUGUGGUUGUCUAGGUGUUCAGGUGGUUACUAAGGAGUUGCUUUGUGGUUGUCUAGGUGUACAGGUGGUUGCUAGGGAGUUGCUUUGUGGUUGUCUAGGUGUUCAGGUGGUCACUAAGGAGUUGCUUUGUGGUUGUCUAGGUGUUCAGGUGGUUACUAAGGAGUUGCUUUGUGGUUGUCUAGGUGUACAGGUGGUUGCUAGGGAGUUGCUUUGUGGUUGUCUAGGUGUUC
This is a long non-coding RNA of Cyprinus carpio carpio, 675 nucleotides long. The record is from Ensembl. Lineage: Eukaryota; Metazoa; Chordata; Actinopteri; Cypriniformes; Cyprinidae.